UCUCUGAACUGGGCAGCACAGUCUCAUUGCAGGGACAAAAUAUGGGCCUUUUUGUUCUGUUACAGAACAGAAAUUGGACUGAAUACACUGGAUGAGCAGUUGGGCAUUGACAGUAUCUGCAGGUUGUAGAAAGAUCAUGGGUGCAGGUAGAAGACAAGGUAAGGGUGUGCCUGGCUCCCUGUAUGCCACGUGAGAUUCUGAUCACCAUUUGAUUGGAAUCCUACGUGGCUUACCGGGAGCUAUGCACGCUUUGUUAACAUUUUUUUUUUUUUUUUCUCUUUUCUGUGUUCUUGUAUUGCAGGUGGGUGGAGAAUGAAUACUCAGAAGUUGUUUUGGAGACGGGAAAGCACAUUUAAAUGUAACAAAUCCAGUUAAACAGUUGUUUUCCUCUGCUGAUCCAAAUAAGCAAAGAAGGAUCUGUUUAUGUUAUUUCAGCUUACCAUGAUUCCUUGUAUGUUCUUUUGGGUGCCUCAGCAAUGAUAUUGCAUUUACUUGCCUUGAGUCCCCCUAACAUUGUUUUGUUAUAAAGUUAAGGAACAAUGAGAUCCAGUUUCAAUUUA
This is a long non-coding RNA of Cryptomeria japonica (Japanese cedar), 560 nucleotides long. RefSeq lists it as uncharacterized. The transcript is spliced from 2 exons. NCBI's taxonomy places the organism in Eukaryota, Viridiplantae, Streptophyta, Pinopsida, Cupressales, Cupressaceae. The record is from RefSeq and is a predicted model, not a curated record.